CAAUCAUACACGUCAUUUUACUACAGUACAGUAGGUGGCGGUAUAUUGUUCGUGUCCGUAUGGUCAUACGCGGCAAGCAAGUACACACACGACUGAAGUGUCGCUGGAAGACUGCAGGAACAGAAACCCCUGGAAAGGUUAGAAGACAGCGGAAAGAAUUGACAUCGCAGUAAACCCAGCAGACAGCCAGAGACACACCAAGAGACACGCACACACACGCAGCUGAAGUGAGUUUGACUGACGCGCACGGGAGAUCGGGCACGCGCAAGGGAAAUCAUGCACGUGCACGGAAGGUCGUGCACGCACGCACAAACAUGGAGCACAGCAUAAUUACAACAGUUGGAUUAAAAUAAAAGUACUUUGUGGUAUACAAUGUU
Molecule: non-coding RNA, 377 nt
Organism: Misgurnus anguillicaudatus (oriental weatherfish)
Lineage: Eukaryota; Metazoa; Chordata; Actinopteri; Cypriniformes; Cobitidae
Source: RefSeq, a predicted model, not a curated record